UUUUAUUUGAGAGUUUGAUCCUGGCUCAGGAUGAACGCUGGCGGCGUGCCUAACACAUGCAAGUUGAGCGAUUUACUUCGGUAAAGAGCGGCGGACGGGUGAGUAACGCGUGGGUAACCUACCCUGUACACACGGAUAACAUACCGAAAGGUAUGCUAAUACGGGAUAAUAUAUUUGAGAGGCAUCUCUUGAAUAUCAAAGGUGAGCCAGUACAGGAUGGACCCGCGUCUGAUUAGCUAGUUGGUAAGGUAACGGCUUACCAAGGCGACGAUCAGUAGCCGACCUGAGAGGGUGAUCGGCCACAUUGGAACGGAGACACGGUCCAAACUCCUACGGGAGGCAGCAGUGGGGAAUAUUGCACAAUGGGCGAAAGCCUGAUGCAGCAACGCCGCGUGAGUGAUGAAGGCCUUCGGGUCGUAAAACUCUGUCCUCAAGGAAGAUAAUGACGGUACUUGAGGAGGAAGCCCCGGCUAACUACGUGCCAGCAGCCGCGGUAAUACGUAGGGGGCUAGCGUUAUCCG
This 521-nucleotide ribosomal RNA is filed under the name Clostridioides difficile. Its description in RNAcentral is "bacterial SSU rRNA". It matches the Rfam family "Bacterial small subunit ribosomal RNA", at positions 1 to 547 of the family's 1533-position model. Lineage: Bacteria; Bacillati; Bacillota; Clostridia; Peptostreptococcales; Peptostreptococcaceae. The record is from RNAcentral.